Molecule: ribosomal RNA, 332 nt
Filed under: uncultured bacterium
Lineage: Bacteria
Description: bacterial SSU rRNA
Rfam family: Bacterial small subunit ribosomal RNA
Source: RNAcentral
CGUGUAGGCGGUUAGGUAAGUGGAAUGUGAAAUCCCUCGGCUCACCCGAGGACCUGCAUCCCAAACUGCCUGACUUGAGUAUGGGAGAGGAUGAGGGAAUUCCUGGUGUAGCGGUGAAAUGCGUAGAUAUCAGGAGGAACACCGGUGGCGAAGGCGCUCAUCUGGCCCAAUACUGACGCUGAGGCGCGAAAGCUAGGGGAGCAAACGGGAUUAGAUACCCCGGUAGUCCUAGCCGUAAACGGUGAUCACUAGGUGUUGGAGGCAUCGACCCCUCCAGUGCCGCAGCUAACGCAUUAAGUGAUCCGCCUGGGGAGUACGGCCGCAAGGUUGAA